CCCAAGAGUCAGGGGGGAAGAGGGGAUGGAUCUCAGCCAUCACAAAAUGGGGGGCCUUUAUGUUCAGGUUUUGCCCAAGAAUCAGCUUAUUUGCUUCUUGUACUAGCAGGGCAGUUGCUGCCAAGGCCCUCAAAUAGGGGGGCCAUUCUUUAGCAACCCUGUCUAGUUGUUUAGAGACGUAGGCUACCGGCCUCAGCCAGGGCCCCACAGUUUGGGUUAAAAGUCCAGCUGCCAUCUUUUCUCUCUCUGACGCAUACAAUGGAAAAGGCUUUGUCAGAUCGGGUAGCCCCAGGGCUGGGGCUGCCAGAAGAUUUUCUUAUAACUAAUGAAAGACUUGCUGUUGUCGGGAUCCCCAUUUCAAAGGUUCCGGGUCCCCGCCCCCUUUGUGACCUCAUACAAAGGCUUGGCUAAUACUGCAACGUUUGGGAUCCACAGCCUACAAAACCCCACAGCUCCUAAGAAUUCUCUCACCUGCCUUCUGCCCUUAAGCUCCGGUAGAUUGCAAAUAACCUGCUUUCUUUCUGUUCCUGAGCUGCGUUCGGACCCCUGUCGUAUUGUAAAUCCCACGCAAGGUACCUGCCGUCGGAAGAUUUGAGCUUUCUUCUUGAACACCUCAUACCCACAGUCCUCCAGACAGAAGGACAACAGGUACAAAGUCCUAAGGAUUAUAAAGGUAUGCUGCUUGCCAUCAUCUUAGUGACCAAGGCAGCGAAGCUGUUUCUGUACCUUGGAACAGUCUUCCCUGACAAGCCAGAGAACAGCGAUAAAGCCACCAGCCUUGGGAUCAGGACUGAAAAGGCAAGAGUGAUGGAGAUUUCUCCUGCGCUAAGCCAAGAGAAGGUUUCAGCACCUCAGACAGCUCCCACCGAAGUAGCGGCGCUCCCAGCUGCUUGCAGAUGUGGAAAAGGAAAGCCUCGGUUUGUCUUGAGGUUGUCAGCAGUUGCAAGACACGUAAUAAAAUGCAAUGUGUUCCUAAUUCAUUGCAUAUCCUCAGCUUUAAAUUUGGGUAGCAAAAUGAUUACUCUAGAUUCUUCAGCCUUGCCUUGGCAAGUAUCUGUACCUAAAAAGCAGUUUUUCUACCUAAUCUCUUUUUUUGUUUUUGUUUUUCAAUACACUUUAAGCAAAUUGAAGCUUU
RNAcentral lists this long non-coding RNA (1135 nucleotides) under Homo sapiens (human). RNAcentral's name for it is "novel transcript". The record is from RNAcentral. Lineage: Eukaryota; Metazoa; Chordata; Mammalia; Primates; Hominidae.